CUGCUUGGCUAUUUUAAGAUCUUAAAGUGAACUUAAAAUAAGAUUUGAGCUGAGACAAGGAAGGAUUUAUUCCACAGCUGGUUUCUUGAACCCAUCAAUCAGCAAGUUUAAUUCUAUUUUUAAUUAGUUUUUGUUAUGUUGAA
This is a long non-coding RNA of Alosa sapidissima (American shad), 143 nucleotides long. RefSeq lists it as uncharacterized. The record is from RefSeq and is a predicted model, not a curated record. The transcript has 3 exons. NCBI's taxonomy places the organism in Eukaryota, Metazoa, Chordata, Actinopteri, Clupeiformes, Clupeidae.